RNAcentral lists this ribosomal RNA (450 nucleotides) under uncultured bacterium. RNAcentral's name for it is "bacterial SSU rRNA". It matches the Rfam family "Bacterial small subunit ribosomal RNA", at positions 328 to 792 of the family's 1533-position model. The record is from RNAcentral.
UUUCCAGACUCCUACGGGAGGCAGCAGUGGGGGAUAUUGGACAAUGGGGGAAACCCUGAUCCAGCGACGCCGCGUGAGUGAAGAAGUAUUUCGGUAUGUAAAGCUCUGUCAGCAGGGAAGAAAGAAAUGACGGUACCUGAAGAAGAAGCCCCGGCUAACUACGUGCCAGCAGCCGCGGUAAUACGUAGGGGGCGAGCGUUAUCCGGAUUCACUGGGUGUAAAGGGAGCGUAGACGGCCAUGCAAGCCAGGGGUGAAAGCCCGGGGCCCAACCCCGGGACUGCCCUUGGAACUGUGCGGCUAGAGUGCGGGAGGGGCAGGCGGAAUUCCUGGUGUAGCGGUGAAAUGCGUAGAUAUCAGGAGGAACACCGGCGGCGAAGGCGGCCUGCUGGACCGCGACUGACGUUGAGGCUCGAAAGCGUGGGGAGCGAACAGGAUUAGAUACCCCGGUA